Molecule: ribosomal RNA, 253 nt
Filed under: uncultured bacterium
Lineage: Bacteria
Description: partial 16S ribosomal RNA
Rfam family: Bacterial small subunit ribosomal RNA
Source: RNAcentral
UACGUAGGGGGCAAGCGUUAUCCGGAUUCACUGGGUGUAAAGGGAGCGUAGACGGCCAUGCAAGCCUGGAGUGAAAGCCCGGGGCCCAACCCCGGGACUGCUCUGGGAACUGUGCGGCUGGAGUGCGGGAGGGGCAGGCGGAGUUCCUGGUGUAGCGGUGAAAUGCGUAGAUAUCAGGAGGAACACCGGCGGCGAAGGCGGCCUGCUGGACCGCGACUGACGUUGAGGCUCGAAAGCGUGGGGAGCAAACAGG